ACUGUAAAUGUGUGCUUCUUAGUCCCUUCACCUCCUUCACCCAGUUUCCCAAUCCCCCUACUCUCUGGCAACCCCCAGUUAACUCUCUGUGGAGUGCCUGACAUA
Molecule: long non-coding RNA, 105 nt
Organism: Myotis davidii
Lineage: Eukaryota; Metazoa; Chordata; Mammalia; Chiroptera; Vespertilionidae
Exons: 3
Source: RefSeq, a predicted model, not a curated record